CACAGUGAGCAGCCUUUCUUUCUUUUCCCUUUCUUCCAGAGCAGACUGUUAACUAUAAUGGAGAACCAUUGAUUACCUUCAUUGUGUGGGCUGUGAUUUUCAGAUGGGAAUGCCAAGGGCAGCAUAGAGAACAGUUUGAAGAGGAGAGGAUGGACUGAAAGGCAGUAUUCUGUCUGAGGGUGAGUCCAGGUUUCAGACAAAGGUCUGAAGGAGAGCCAGCUUCACAGACAUCUGCUCCCUUGUCCCCCGGCAGUUCCCGGACUUCCAGGUCACAGCUUCUGCCUGACUCUUUCUUGCAUCUCUCUGCAGCACAGAUGAAAAUGGCAAGUUCCCUAGACUUCCCUCUGCUCAACCUCCUUGUCU
This is a non-coding RNA of Ceratotherium simum simum (southern white rhinoceros), 363 nucleotides long. The record is from RefSeq and is a predicted model, not a curated record. Lineage: Eukaryota; Metazoa; Chordata; Mammalia; Perissodactyla; Rhinocerotidae.